This 74-nucleotide transfer RNA is filed under the name Coriobacteriales bacterium. Its description in RNAcentral is "tRNA-Gln". It matches the Rfam family "tRNA". From Rfam's summary of the family: Transfer RNA (tRNA) molecules are approximately 80 nucleotides in length. Their secondary structure includes four short double-helical elements and three loops (D, anti-codon, and T loops). The record is from RNAcentral. Lineage: Bacteria; Bacillati; Actinomycetota; Coriobacteriia; Coriobacteriales.
UGGGACAUCGUCCAAUGGUAGGACUCUGGUUUUUGGUGCCAGCUAUGUAGGUUCGAAUCCUGCUGUCCCAGCCA